UACAGAGGGGGCAAGCGUUAUCCGGAAUUAUUGGGCGUAAAGAGCUCGUAGGCGGUUUGUCGCGUCUGCUGUGAAAACUGGAGGCUCAACCUCCAGCCUGCAGUGGGUACGGGCAGACUAGAGUGCGGUAGGGGAGAUUGGAAUUCCUGGUGUAGCGGUGGAAUGCGCAGAUAUCAGGAGGAACACCGGUGGCGAAGGCGGGUCUCUGGGCAGUAACUGACGCUGAGGAGCGAAAGCGUGGGGAGCGAACAGG
Molecule: ribosomal RNA, 253 nt
Filed under: uncultured bacterium
Lineage: Bacteria
Description: partial 16S ribosomal RNA
Rfam family: Bacterial small subunit ribosomal RNA
Source: RNAcentral